UCUCCGUUGGUGAACCAGCGGAGGGAUCAUUACCGAGUUUACAACUCCCAAACCCCUGUGAACAUACCUAUCGUUGCCUCGGCGGUGCCCGCUCCGGCGGCCCGCCAGAGGACCCCCAAACUCUUGUUUUAUACAGUAUCUUCUGAGUAACACGAUUAAAUAAAUCAAAACUUUCAACAACGGAUCUCCUGGUUCUG
RNAcentral lists this unclassified non-coding RNA (197 nucleotides) under plant metagenome. RNAcentral describes it as "partial contains small subunit ribosomal RNA, internal transcribed spacer 1, and 5.8S ribosomal RNA". The record is from RNAcentral.